Molecule: ribosomal RNA, 253 nt
Filed under: uncultured bacterium
Lineage: Bacteria
Description: partial 16S ribosomal RNA
Rfam family: Bacterial small subunit ribosomal RNA
Source: RNAcentral
UACGGAGGGAGCAAGCGUUACUCGGAAUUAUUGGGCGUAAAGGGCGCGUAGGCGAUCCGACAAGUCUGGUGUGAAAGCCCACAUGUUAACUGUGGAAGUGCAUUAGAAACUGUUGGAUUUGAGUUCAGGAGAGGAAAGCAGAAUUCCCGGUGUAGCGGUGAAAUGCGCAGAUAUCGGGAGGAACACCUAUGGCGAAGGCAGCUCGCUGGGACGUUACUGACGCUGAGACGCGAAAGCGUGGGGAGCAAACAGG